RNAcentral lists this ribosomal RNA (640 nucleotides) under Pseudomonas sp. Its description in RNAcentral is "bacterial SSU rRNA". It matches the Rfam family "Bacterial small subunit ribosomal RNA", at positions 83 to 719 of the family's 1533-position model. The record is from RNAcentral. Lineage: Bacteria; Pseudomonadati; Pseudomonadota; Gammaproteobacteria; Pseudomonadales; Pseudomonadaceae.
CUUCUCUUGAGAGCGGCGGACGGGUGAGUAAUGCCUAGGAAUCUGCCUGGUAGUGGGGGAUAACGUUCGGAAACGGACGCUAAUACCGCAUACGUCCUACGGGAGAAAGCAGGGGACCUUCGGGCCUUGCGCUAUCAGAUGAGCCUAGGUCGGAUUAGCUAGUUGGUGAGGUAAUGGCUCACCAAGGCGACGAUCCGUAACUGGUCUGAGAGGAUGAUCAGUCACACUGGAACUGAGACACGGUCCAGACUCCUACGGGAGGCAGCAGUGGGGAAUAUUGGACAAUGGGCGAAAGCCUGAUCCAGCCAUGCCGCGUGUGUGAAGAAGGUCUUCGGAUUGUAAAGCACUUUAAGUUGGGAGGAAGGGUUGUAGAUUAAUACUCUGCAAUUUUGACGUUACCGACAGAAUAAGCACCGGCUAACUCUGUGCCAGCAGCCGCGGUAAUACAGAGGGUGCAAGCGUUAAUCGGAAUUACUGGGCGUAAAGCGCGCGUAGGUGGUUUGUUAAGUUGGAUGUGAAAUCCCCGGGCUCAACCUGGGAACUGCAUUCAAAACUGACUGACUAGAGUAUGGUAGAGGGUGGUGGAAUUUCCUGUGUAGCGGUGAAAUGCGUAGAUAUAGGAAGGAACACCAGUGGCGAA